CUCUUCCGCAUAAGAAUGAGAUUGGCUUCUGCCUUCUUAAGAGCCUCUUGGAGGUACUUGACGUCGACUUUAAGUUUUUCCACCUUCAUCCAGGCGGCCAGAGCAUCCUCUUCAGUCUUUGUUUAAGCCUCUCGAGCCUUCCUUUCAGCCUCCCGUGCUCUGGCUUCCCUAGCUGAGCGAUCCGCUAAAUUGAUGAGGACA
Molecule: long non-coding RNA, 201 nt
Filed under: Elaeis guineensis (African oil palm)
Lineage: Eukaryota; Viridiplantae; Streptophyta; Magnoliopsida; Arecales; Arecaceae
Description: long non-coding RNA (EGUI_LNC039589)
Source: RNAcentral